UUUGUUCAUUAAUCUCAAAUAAAAAAAAAUUGUAGGCCACAAUUUCUUUAUUAGUUACAAAUCACAAAUUUUAUAACUCAUGGGGGUAAAAAAUAAUCAAAUUAUUUGUGACAGAUUAACAAAUUUUUUGGUCACAACCAAUCAAAUUAUUUGUGAAUAUGUCGUGACCACCGAUUUAUCAUUGCCUCUAGUCGCAGUGUCACACAUUCGUCAACACCUCCUAGCAACACCACCGUAGGCACUACCUCCAACAAACCACUAUUUCCAACUUCAAAACCACCCCCACCACAAACAAACCAUCAUUUUAAGCUACAAAACCACGACCAAUGUCAAUACCAAUAUCACCUCCACCACCACCCGCACUACCACUGCAACCUCCAUCCCCAUCUUACCAUCAACGCCACGGUCGGCCAGCAAAUGCAGCAGCACCACCUAGUGUACCAAAAAUCACAACCACAAUCUCCAUUACACUACAAUCAUCACACCCACAAAAAAAUCCCCAAAUUCGAUGUUGCUGUCGCCACCACACCAUCGCUACCACCUCUUUAUCAGAUCCACAGGCUGAAGUCCACAAUCUCCGCAUCACUGCAAGUCGUGCGAUUGUCGUUGCAAGUUGUGCGACCGUCAAUGGUGCUGCAAAUUGUGCGAUUGUAUUUUACAAUCGCAACAUUGCUGCCUGCAGUAACUACAUCGCCGCGCCAUUUUGCUCCGCCGCCUUAUCGGAUCCACAGCUGUAGGAGGAGCAGAUUCAGCGCCUGCUGCACCGCGACAAUCGAAGAAUACCAAUGCAAGAGAGGUAGAUCGACGGCGGAUAAAUAUGGUGGGCGAGUAGAGAGUGAGAGACGGAUUAAAGAGAGAAAAUGGAGAGCAAAGAUGGAGAGAAAUGAAUUAGGUUUGGGUGUAAAAUUGGGACGGAAAAUAGACGGGUCGGUUUGUAGAUGAACAUAAUUUUAUAAUAAUAUUAUUAAUAUUUAAAAGAUAAUUAUUAUCUGAUUUUUGAAUAAAAAUCCUUUCAUUCUUAUUUUUUAUUUGAAAAUUUAAAAAGCCUGUGUGUAGAUGUAAUUUUUAUUUUUUGGAACUAGAUUCUAUCCGUUUUUUAUUCUAAA
This 1106-nucleotide long non-coding RNA is filed under the name Olea europaea subsp. europaea. The record is from RNAcentral. Lineage: Eukaryota; Viridiplantae; Streptophyta; Magnoliopsida; Lamiales; Oleaceae.